GCCGGGUACGGUGGCAGGUGCCUGCAGUCUCGGCUACUUGGGAGGCUGAGGUGGGAGGAUCACUUCAGCACAGGAGUUCUGGGCUGUAGUGUGCUAUGCCAAUCGGGUGUCUGUACUAAGUUCGGCAUCAAUAUGGUGACCUUCCAGGAGCGGGGGACCAUCAGGUUGCCUAAGGAGGGGUGAACUGGCCCAGGUCGGAAGUGGAACAGGUCGAAACUCCUGUGCUGAUCAGUAGUGGGAUCGCACCUGUGAAUAGCCACUGCACUCUAGCCUGGGCCACAUAAUGAGACCCUGUCUCU
RNAcentral lists this signal recognition particle RNA (299 nucleotides) under Saimiri boliviensis boliviensis (Bolivian squirrel monkey). Its description in RNAcentral is "Metazoan signal recognition particle RNA (ENSSBOG00000005306.1)". It matches the Rfam family "Metazoan signal recognition particle RNA". Rfam says of the family: The signal recognition particle (SRP) is a universally conserved ribonucleoprotein. It is involved in the co-translational targeting of proteins to membranes. The eukaryotic SRP consists of a 300-nucleotide 7S RNA and six proteins: SRPs 72, 68, 54, 19, 14, and 9. The record is from RNAcentral. Lineage: Eukaryota; Metazoa; Chordata; Mammalia; Primates; Cebidae.